This 234-nucleotide long non-coding RNA is filed under the name Coffea arabica (coffee). Its description in RNAcentral is "long non-coding RNA (CARA_LNC006615)". The record is from RNAcentral. Lineage: Eukaryota; Viridiplantae; Streptophyta; Magnoliopsida; Gentianales; Rubiaceae.
UUCAUUUUCCCUACCCACACACUCCAUCAGCCUCACCACGGUUUUUCUCCAUUUCCUCUCCAUACUACCACACCUAAAACCCACAACAACAUUCUCCUUUGCCUUGUUAUCAUCGACAAGGAGGGAGAGAGAGCUGUACUCUGCAAGCCGAGAGGAAAGAAAAGAAAGGAAGCCGCGCGAGCUGCAACCUUUAUGUUCUGUCCGAGCAAGUUAAGUGAGAGAGAUAGAGAGAGA